UACAGAGGGUGCAAGCGUUAAUCGGAAUUACUGGGCGUAAAGCGCGCGUAGGGGGUUUGUUAAGUUGGAUGUGAAAGCCCUGGGCUCAACCUGGGAACUGCAUCCAAAACUGGCAGGCUAGAGUACGGUAGAGGGUGGUGGAAUUUCCUGUGUAGCGGUGAAAUGCGUAGAUAUAGGAAGGAACACCAGUGGCGAAGGCGACCACCUGGACUGAUACUGACACUGAGGUGCGAAAGCGUGGGGAGCAAACAGG
RNAcentral lists this ribosomal RNA (253 nucleotides) under uncultured bacterium. Its description in RNAcentral is "partial 16S ribosomal RNA". It matches the Rfam family "Bacterial small subunit ribosomal RNA", at positions 524 to 776 of the family's 1533-position model. The record is from RNAcentral.